Molecule: ribosomal RNA, 309 nt
Filed under: Candidatus Faecalicoccus intestinipullorum
Lineage: Bacteria; Bacillati; Bacillota; Erysipelotrichia; Erysipelotrichales; Erysipelotrichaceae
Description: partial 23S ribosomal RNA
Rfam family: Bacterial large subunit ribosomal RNA
Source: RNAcentral
AACGUCGUGAGACAGUUCGGUCCCUAUCUGUUGUGGGCGAAGGAGAUCUGAGGAGAGCUGUCCUUAGUACGAGAGGACCGGGAUGGACCUACCGCUGGUGCACCAGUUGUACUGCCAAGUGCAUAGCUGGGUAGCUAAGUAGGGAAAGGAUAAGCGCUGAAAGCAUCUAAGCACGAAACCUACUCCAAGAUGAGAUCUCCCAUUCGUGAGAAGUAAGACCCCUUAAAGACGAUAAGGUAGAUAGGCCGGAGAUGGAAGUGUAGCGAUACACGGAGUUGACCGGUACUAAUCGGUCGAGGACUUAAUCAG